UCUAAGGAAUAAGCCUCGGCUAACUCCGUGCCAGCAGCCGCGGUAAGACGGAGGAUGCAAGCGUUAUCCGGAAUUAUUGGGCGUAAAGCGUCUGUAGGUGGUUUACUCAGUCCGCUGUGAAAGAUCAGGGCUUCACCCUGAACACGCGGUGGAAACCGGUAGACUUGAGUACGGUGGGGGCAGAGGGAAUUCCCGGUGGAGCGGUGAAAUGCGUAGAGAUCGGGAAGAACACCAAUAGCGAAAGCACUCUGCUGGGCCGUAACUGACACUGAGAGACGAAAGCUAGGGUAGCGAAUGGGAUUAGAUACCCCAGUAGUCCUAGCCGUAAACGAUGGAUACUAAGUGCUGUGCAUUCGACCAGUACUGUAGCUAACGCGUUAAGUAUCCCGCCGGGGGAGUAUGCUCGCAAGAGUGAAACUCAAAGGAAUUGACG
This 433-nucleotide ribosomal RNA is filed under the name uncultured phototrophic eukaryote. Its description in RNAcentral is "bacterial SSU rRNA". It matches the Rfam family "Bacterial small subunit ribosomal RNA", at positions 478 to 915 of the family's 1533-position model. The record is from RNAcentral.